Molecule: unclassified non-coding RNA, 406 nt
Filed under: soil metagenome
Description: partial contains 5.8S ribosomal RNA, internal transcribed spacer 2, and large subunit ribosomal RNA
Rfam family: 5.8S ribosomal RNA (bases 1-121)
Source: RNAcentral
GAUGAAGAACGUAGUGAAAUGCGAUAAGUAAUGUGAAUUGCAGAAUUCAGUGAAUCAUCGAAUCUUUGAACGCACCUUGCGCCCUUUGGCUAUUCCGAAGGGCAUGCCUGUUUGAGUAUCAUGAACACCUCAACUCUCAUGGCUUGCCAUGAAGAGCUUGGACUAUGGGGGUCUUGCUGGCCUGUGGUCGGCUCCUCUCAAAUGAAUCAGCUUGCCGGUGUUUGGUGGCGUCACAGGUGUGAUAACUAUCUACGCUUGUGGUGUUUUCCACCAGGUAACCUUCAGCAAUGGAGAUUCGCUGGGGCUCAUAAAAGUCUCUCCUCGGUGAGGACAGCUCUUUUUGAACGUUUGAUCUCAAAUCAGGUAGGACUACCCGCUGAACUUAAGCAUAUCAAUAAGCGGAGGA